GAUGAACGCUGGCGGCGUGCCUAAUACAUGCAAGUCGAGCGAACAGACGAGGAGUUUGCUCCUCUGACGUUAGCGGCGGACGGGAGAGUACCAUGUGGAUAACCUACCUCUCAGACUGGGAUAACUUCGGGAAACCGGAGCUACUACCGGAUAAUAUAUUGAACCGCAUGGUUCAAUAGUUAAAGACGCUUUUGCUGUCACUUAUAGAUGGAUCCGCGCCGCAUUAGCUAGUUGGUAAGGUAACGGCUUACCAAGGCAACGAUGCGUAACCGACCUCAGAGGGUGGUUGGCCAGCCGGGAUGUGAGACAGGGUAGAGACACUGGCGGUGGGACGCAGUAGAGAAUCUUACGCGAUGGGGCAGUGCGGAAUAGAGCAACAUGGGGGGAGGGAUGAAGGAGUUCGGCUCGGAAAGCUAUGUAGUUAGGAAAGAUCAAAUGUGUAAGUAACUGUGCAGGUCUUGACGGUACCGAGAGAAAAAGCCACGGCUAACUACGUG
RNAcentral lists this ribosomal RNA (497 nucleotides) under uncultured bacterium. RNAcentral describes it as "partial 16S ribosomal RNA". It matches the Rfam family "Bacterial small subunit ribosomal RNA", at positions 28 to 507 of the family's 1533-position model. The record is from RNAcentral.